This 17741-nucleotide long non-coding RNA is filed under the name Populus trichocarpa (black cottonwood). RNAcentral's name for it is "long non-coding RNA (PTRI_LNC002469)". The record is from RNAcentral. Lineage: Eukaryota; Viridiplantae; Streptophyta; Magnoliopsida; Malpighiales; Salicaceae.
GAGCAUAAUCAGAAAAAAAACAUUAGCCCAUAAAUUAAGAGGGUAAACAAAAACUGAGGCUUUUCUUAAUCAUAAAAGCUCUAGAAAUUGGUCAUAAACUUGUUCUUCAGCAAGGCUCGCAGUCUAAUUUAAACAUGAUAUCCAUCUUAAUUACGAGAAAAACCUGCAAGUUUAAUAAGACAAGUAGAAGUGGAUCGCAUAAGACCAGAGAAAUCCAUAAGCUAAAAGCAGUACCUGGUCACCAUUGUUGCGGAUGAGAAAGUCCCUCUCUUCCGACGAAAGAAGGGAUGAAAGGUCGUGCGAAACGUCUUCGUUGGCCAUUGUUAAGUGAUGAACUACUCAAAAGGCUAUAACAAUUGUCGAUUCCAAACGCUAUUUAUUGGGACAAACUGGGAUGGUUCCUUUUAAGUUACUUGCACAGCACGCCGAGUGAACUAUCAUACGUCAACGAUGACAUGUAAAUUUGGAUGGUGAUGACAAAAACAUCAAUCCACGUGGAACACACCUCCUCUUGCUUUUUUUAUUUAAAAAGAAAAAGAAAAGGAAAAAGAAAAAACAUAUUCAUUUUUUUUUAAUUUCUCUCUCUUUUUAUUUUUUUAGUCACUCUUCACUUUUUACCUUUUUUUUUUCAAGAAUCUGAAUUCUAGGUUUCUUCUUUUAUUAAGAGAUAAUUAUAAAAAACCUCUUAUGAUUUCAUUAUGUUUCACUUUACCCUAGUACUUUUUGAAAUUAUAUUUUACAUUCUUUAUAAAAUAAAAAUUUAAAAAUGAUAAAAUAUCCAAAUUAUCUUUAUCUAUAAAUAUGAGAAAAUUAAUUGAAUAACAGAUCAUAUACUCACACUCUCUUUCUUGUCCUACUUUCUCUUUCUAAAAAUCAUAAUCUCUCUCUUCUUUGACAUCUAUUAUCAUAAUUUGUUUAAUCGAUCUGAUUUUUGUUCUUGUUUCCUGUGGAAUUCCUUCCUCUUCAUGUUUAGAACUCGACAAAGUUGGAAUCCUUUUCAUUGUUGUUAGCCCAAAGAUCUCUAGUAUAUAUGGUUUUAGUAAUUUUAAUGAUCAUAACAAUUUAGUGAAUUUAAUAUGUUUGUUAAGAUUUGAUAUUAUAAGGAUUUUUCUAUUAUGUCAAAUUAGAGCAAAAUAGAUUCUUUUGAUGUAAACUUAACUUUGGAUGUCUAAACUUAGAGUUAUGUAAUCAAGUCUUUAAAGAAUUUAAUUUUUCACACAAAAAUGAUUUUUAUCCAAAAAGAUUCUUUAUUAUUGAAUUUAUACAUAUUGAAAAAUAGUUUAUGAGAAAAUCUUUCAUCAAAUAUUUUAGAUUGUUACUAAAAGUUUUUUGGAAUGGAAAGUAUAAACUUAAUUAAAUGAUUUCUUGUGUUUUGAUUACACUAAAAAUUUCUUGUUCAUUUUCAACGUACCUAAGUGAGUUGUGACUUUUCCACACUCAAAAGUGCAUAAUACAACUCUGUCAUUCUCCUUUGCUAAACACAAGAAGCAUGUUUAAAUUUCUCAUUUAAUAAUAAUCAAUGGAAGAUAAUAAAAUAAGUUGGAUUUGAGUUUUACUUAAUUGUUCCAUUUAAAACAUCCAAAUUCAUUAUCCAACUCUGACCUAAUUAAAUUAGGUUAAAUCGGGGAUGAAAAAGUUUUUUUUCAAGUUAAAUUUUAUGUUUUAAAACCAGUUUAGGAGUUUUUUGAGUUGACAGUAGAGGUUUUUUUUUGUUCGGUUUGGUUUUGAUAAAAAAAAAAGACAACUUUAUUGAAAAUUUAGUUUUUUAGGGUUUUGAACCCGAAAUCGGUUCAAAGCUAUCGGGUUCGGCUUGGUUCAGUCUUUUUUUUUCAAAACUUGUUCAAAUCGACAUUAUUUCAAUUGAGAUUUUUUAUAGGCCUCGCUUUUUAGGUUUUUAUUACAAUGGAUCCAAGUUAUUUUUACUAUUUUUGGGUUUUUCAAGAUUUGUUUUGAAUUUUUUCAUAAAAGGUUUGUGUUGUUUUAUUACAAAGGCUUUUCAUGCCCAUAAAUAAUUAUAUGAAUUUUUACUUCAACAUAAACAUACAUAGUUGAUGCGAAUUCGGAGAGUAAAAUCCCUUGAACCCUCACACAAGAAAAAAAAAUCCAAAAAAGCUAAAAUCAAGUUGAAAAGAACUCAACUUAGUGGUUAUCUAAACCAAAGAAUUGUCAUAACCCAUUUUUGGGUUCUUCCAAAUUACAUUUCUUUUCUAAAAAAAAAAAACACAACACUGAAACAAUGCCGUUUUGAAUAGCAUUGUUCUCCUUCUUCCCUGCGCAUGCAGAGGCAGGGAAGAACAAGAUUUUAAAUCAUUUUUCCCGCUCUCUUUCCCCUCCCACUUGCACAAAACCCAUACCUAUAAACCCAUACCCUGCCAAGAAAGGGGCACCAUGCCCUGUAAACGCCAGCCACCUUACCCUGCAGAGGUAAGGUAGCCCAGCUCCCCCUGCACCAUGAUGGGACAGAGCAGGGGGGUUCCUCUCCGCUUGCUUAUAAAUAGAAGGAGGAGGAACCAGCAAAAGGGGGGUGAUUUUUUGGGCAGAGAGAAAGACAAGAAGAGGGAGGAGAAAUUUUUUGGAGAGAAGAGGGAAGCAAGCUGCAGAAACGGAGGGAGAAAAGGAAAAAAAAGGAAACCAAGGGGUGGCAAAAUUUUGGAGAAGGAACAGAGGACGAAUGCGAGAGAGGAGGAGGGGGGAGAACAGAAAACAGAGGGGAGAGUUUGUUUUUGAGAGGAGUGAAGCUCGGGCAAAACAGAAGAAAAAAGGAAGAAGAUUUUAAAGACAGAUAAGAGGAGCAGAGAAGGCCAGAAACAGAGGACAACGCUGAGAAGGGAAGGAGAACCACCGGCCAAGCAGCUCACCCAGUUCCCCUAUUGCCACCAGCACCGUGAGCUGUCAGCAGCACAUCCAUGGUAGAGAGAGGAGGACGUUGUUGACAGAGGCAACACACACGGACAAGAAGAACAGCAGCACCACCACCAACGCCAUUGCCAAGUCUUGGAAGUGAAAACAAAGAAGGAGAGAAAGGAGGAAGAACCACCGGUUACUGUCUGUAUAGCUGCCACCAGCGCCACCCUAAAGCAACCGCCAGCUGCCACCAUCCUCCCCGUCAUUGAUAACAGACCUGCACCGUGAGAAACAAAAGAAGAAACACUGAAAAAACAGAAACAGAGGAGAACAGAGCAGAAGAAAAAAAACAUAGAGAAGAAGAAGAAAGGCCGAUCACCGUCCAAGCCGUUCUCCGGUCAGCAACCGCCAGCAGCACAACCUCGAAGCCACAGCAGGUCCGCCCCUCUUCCUUCUUCUUCUUCGUUGCACCAUCUUCACUGUUCUGCGUGAACAGUGGAGAGUGAAUUAAUUCACUCUCCACUGUUCACUGGGCCAGACGACUUGUCCCAGCCUAAAAUCAGCGGGCCGGGUCCGGCCCAGUCAAAAAAAAAUUCAAAAUUUUUUUUUUUUUUGAAAAUUUGUGAUUCUUCCGCAUAUUAUUCUACUAAAUUUUGCUUAAUAUUGGUUUGUAUUUUUAUAUCAUAAAAAUACAAAUCCGGUAUUAAAAUACCCGAUUUUCGUCAAAAUUUUUUUUUUAAAAAAAUGUUUUGGUUUUCAUGCAUACGGCCAAGUCUCUCAAAGAAAAGAUCACGUCAUAUUUUCAUACAACAAAGAAAACUUCAAAAAAAAAAUAUGUUUUAGCAUGCAUUUUGGCUUUAAUAACCAGUUUAUUAAAGUCACGAGAACUUGGCCAAAAUUUCAAAAAUUCCAAAAAAAUUAUUUUGUUUUCUUUUAAUAUCAGGGAUUAUGAAUUUAUACGUAAAACAUAUUCCCGAUAUUAAAAAGGUAGUUCUUUUAUUAACGUUAGGACGGUUAGGUUUUACCCGAUAAGAUGAGGAUCUCCUUACCGAGGACUUUUCUUAAACCAUAGGCAGACCAACAAUUAGAAAUACAAUACAACCGUAGCAUAUAUAAGGCAAUAAAACAAUACAGCUUACCUUAGGUAGGGCGUAUUUGGGGUGCUAAUACCUUCCCUUUAUACAACCAGUCCCCGUACCCGAUCUCUGAGACCAGUUAGGGUUCCUAGUAACCAAAAUACUAGGUGGCGACUCCAUUCUAUUUUUCCACUGAUAAAAGACAAGAAUUCCUUGUCUUCCCAUAUUUUCCAGAUACACACCAUGAGUGUGGAGGACGAUCGCCGCGACGCCGCACACGUGCGACAGAAUGGCGACUCCGUUGGGGACCUUGUGGACUAAGCUUUGUUUUUGUCUGAUCAUCGUGUUUUAUUGUUUGGUUUUGUGUUAUUGUUAAUUUUCAUUCUCAUUUGCUCAUACGCUUUAAUUUUUUUACAUAUUUGUUCAUGCAUUGUAUAAAAUUAUUUCAUGCAUCAUUCACAUUUGAGGGGAAUUAUAACUUUAGGUUAAAUGGGGGAUUAGCAGCUUACCUUAUGACUUUUAGUCAAGGUUUAAGUUUGUGUAAACCCCAACUCUUCGCUGAGAGCUUAGACUAGUAAUGAUUGGUGCAUAUGUCAUCCCAUUACCUACUAAGCCCCUAUAUUGCCUUCACGAGGGUGAUCACUGGGACAACAAGAGACCCUUUUGAAUAGGUAGAAAGCCACCAUCAUGUAAUGGCCCAAACCUAUCCUUAGAGUAUGAACUCCCUAAUACGCAUGUACAUACAUUUGCAUCGUACACAUACAUCCAUUCAUUGUAAAUAACAUACAUACAUGCCAGGUUGAAAUAUAGGUCCCCAAAGAGUCUACAACACCCGACUUCGAACGAGAAACAUGGAAGAUGAAGGGCGCGCUCACCGUGACGCCCAUUUUCAAGAAGAGUUGGAGUCUCUGAAGACAAGUGUGGCUCGCCUCACCAGCUUACUCGAGCAAAUACUGGAAAACAUACUCUGGUGAAGUUCCAUCCAACCAACCUCUCAUCUUUGUUCAAACCCUAACAACGACUCAGCCCGAAGAAAUAAAGGGCAAACAUGGUCAAGCGCCUCAACACAAUCCAACAUUUCUGUAAAAGCUUUUGUGGGAAGGCUGACCGAAGGGGAAUUGCAUCACAGUUGCAGAAUGGAGCCUGUUCUUGUUCUGCCAAAAAAUAACUAGCUCUGUUUGAUCAUGCCUGCAAAGCUUCUUGAUUUUUGUUUUAACCUGUUUCAGUCUUGUUGGUUGGCUUAUAAUGCAACAAGACUUUCUUUGUCAAAAGAGCCUUCUUGUUAAUAAGAUCAAGUGUUUUCUUGUGUUCAUGACAUGCCUUCAUUUUGUUGCUGUCUCAUGCAAAUAACACAUUGAGCAUAACCUUUAAGCAUGAAACCAUUGCGCUAAGAAUCUUUUGGUGUGUUUCCCUUUUCUUCCCAAAACAAUGCAUGAUCACACAUAUUCACAAAGAUUUUUUGGGAAUUCAAAGUUUAGUACAAAAACAGAAAUCAUGUUGGUGUUUGUCCGAAACAAAUGAGUUCUGGAAAUUCAGGUGAUUCCUUAUAGAGGUAACCAUACACCUAGAAAACCCGAAAAAAAAACAAAAAAAACAAAAACACCAUGAAGUGACUCCAAAAACUGAGUUUUAAUUGGAUGAAUAAUGAGAAACCAUUUUGCAUACUCGCAUGAAAGCAAGGCUUACCGAUCCUAAAUGCAUGAGUUUGGAAUGAAGAAAGACCAUCUUUGAUAAUCCUUUCACGAAACUAAAAUAUAUCCUUUGAUGUCCUUUUUUAGCCUAGUAUUGUUUUUAGAAAUAACUUUGGCUAGGAUCACACCCUACACUAGGGGGCAAGUGCGAGAGACAUAGAAAAAAAAAACCAUUAAUGAUUGAAAGUGCCCAAACAACACUAGGGGGCAUAAAAAAAAAUUCUCAAUCAUCAAAGGUGCCUUAACAAAACUAGGGGGCAUGAAGAAAAAUCCAAAAGAUCUGAGCUUCUAAACAAUAACUGAUAUGAUGAUGCUCGACCAAGUGAGGAAUGAAGAGAAAGAGCCCAAGCCCAACAUUGGGGGCCACGAUAUACCAUUUCAAAAAUAAAUUUAAAUGACAAAAGAUCAAGAAACAAGCAUAAGUGAUCCUUAGUCUUGAAAUCCCUUAAACACCUUUUGAGCUUGCAAAUAUCCCAUUCUUCAUAACCAAUAGCCCAAGCCUACAUUACGUGCCUAAUCAAGCCCUUUCUGAUCAAAAGCAAGCAAUAUGGAUCGGUAGGCAGUGCUUUCUCAUGCGAACCAAAUCAUUAUUCAUGCAAAUAAAAUAAAUGCUUUGAAAAUCGGUUCUCUGUAACCUUCAAAUUGAAUUUCGAACCAUCGUUUUUACCAACCAGAUGUCACUUCAUAUUUUUCACCAAAAUCAAAACAAAAAUUUUUCAUCACUUUUGAAAACCUCUCCAUAGAAAUCACUUGAAUUUCUUCAGAAUAAGUUUGCUUUGAAUCGAUGUCAAAAUGAUUUUUGUGUUUGGAAUAGCUUCGAAAUUCCAAAAUUUCUACAUGAAAACAACUCCUUAUCAAAAACCAAACCUUCCUUCAAACAGCCUCAUCCCUAAACCCGAAUUGAAUACUUAGGGGCAUGAUCAAGCUGGGGGGCAAUCAAAAGCUCCUGGUAGGGCUGGCUCCAUGAUUCCCUUUCUAAGAAAAAUGUUGGGCAAGAUUGGCAACCCUUGAGAUAAAGGGUGAAGGACAAAGAAGUAUGAUGAUAUCAAGCCCUUCCCAGAGAUCAAGAUCACAAGAGAUGACUCGAGUAAGCAAGAGAGAAAAAGCCAUCGAAGUUUACUGCCAACACUCCAAACUUUUAAGAAAAGAAAGACACCAUGAAGAAAUGAGGACCUAUAUUUCUCAGGUAAGUAUACAUGCAUAUAAAUCAUAAUGCAUUGCUUUCAUCAUUGAUAGAUCGAUAUUACACCUUCUUUCGAGUGCGCCUUUGUGCCCUCACUUCAUUUCAAGUGCGCCUUUGAGCCACCAUUUUUAGGUAAUGCGUUUUGUAACCCUACCACAUUUCGAGUGCGCUUUUGAGCCCUCACCAACAUUUUUCUGGGUAGGUCACCCAUUACAAUUCAACCACUUCUUCAUGUUUUUUUAUCUUGGUAGGUCACCCAUUACAAUGAGGCUGUUUUUCCACUUGGGUAGGUCACCCAUUACAAUGAGACCACUCUUUCUUUUUCCUUGGAUAGGUCACCCAUUAUAAUAAAGCCAAUAUUUUUUCUGGGUAGGUCACCCAUUACAAUAAGACCAUUCCUCCACCUGGGUAGGUCACCCAUUACAACACGACCACUCUUUUUUUUUUCAUUUUUGGGUAGGUCACCCAUUACAACUCAACCAUUCUUCGUGUUUUUUUAUUUGGGUAGAUCACCCAUUACAAUGAGACCAUUCCUCCACCUGGGUAGGUCACCCAUUACAACACGACCACUCUUCCUUUUUCCUUUUCUGGGUAGGUCACCCAUUACAAUUCGACCACUUCUCCAUGUUUUUUUUAUCUGGGUAGGUCACCCAUUACAAUGAGACCACUCUUUCCUUUUUCCUUGGGUAGGUCACCCAUUACAAUGAGAUCAACAUUUUUUCUGGGUAGGUCACCUAUUACAACUCGACCAUUCUCCAUGUUUUUUUAUCUGGGCAGGUUACCCAUUACAAUGAGACCAUUCCUCCACCUGGGUAAGUCACCCAUUACAAUGAGACCACUCUUUCUUUUUCUAUUUAGGCAGGUCGCCCAUAAAAACAGACCAGGGUAAGUGUGUGUGGGCAGGUCGCCCGUGAAAAUAGACCAGUAUGAGUGUGUGAGCAGGUCGCCCGUGAAAAUAGACCAUUGUGAGUGUGUGUGGGUAGGUCGCCCGUGAAAAUAGACCACUGUGAAUAUAUAGGCUGGUCGCCCCUGAAAAUAGACCACUGUGAGUAUGUAUGGGCAAGUCACCCGGGGAAAAAGACCAUUUUUGUUUUUUUCUUUACAAGCUUACUAUGCAAAGCAUCGAGGAGUUUUUUUGCUUCGUAAGCAUUGUAAAGAGGGGGGCAACUGUCAUAACCCAUUUUUGGGUUCUUCCAAAUUACAUUUCUUUUCUAAAAAAAAAAACAGAACACUGAAACAGUGCCGUUUUGAACGGCACUGUUCUCCUUCUUCCCUGCGCAUGCAGAGGCAGGGAAGAACAAGAUUUUAAAUCAUUUUUCCCGCUUUGUUUCCCUUCCCAUUUGCAUAAAACCCAUACCUAUAAACCCAUACCCUGCCAAGAAAGGGGCACCAUGCCCUGUAAACGUCGGCCACUUUACCCUGCAGAGGUAAGGUAGCCCAGCUCCCCCCUGCACCACGAUGGGACAGAGCAGGGGGGUCCCUCACCGCUUGCUUAUAAAUAGAAGAAGGAGGAACCAGCAAAAGGGGGGCGAUUUUUUAGGCAGAGAGAAAGACAAGAAGAGGGAGGAGAAAUUUUUUGGAGAGAAGAGGGAAGCAAGCUGCAGAAACGGAGGGAGAAAAGGAAAAAAAAGGAAACCAAGGGGUGGCAAAAUUUUGGAGAAGGAACAGAGGACGAAUGUGAGAGAAGAGGAGGGGGGAGAACAGAAAACAGAGAGGAGAGUUUGUUUUUUAGAGGAGUGAAGCUCGGGCAAAACAGAAGAAAAAAGGAAGAAGAUUUUGAAGACAGAUAAGAGGAGCAGAGAAGGCCAGAAACAGAGGACAACGCUAAGAAGGGAAGGAGAACCACCGGCCAAGCAGCUCCCUCAGUUCCCCUAUUGCCACCAGCACCCUGAGCUGUCAGCAGCACAGCCACGGCAGAGAGAGGAGGACGUUGUUGACAAAGGCAACACACACGGACAAGAAGAACAGCAACAGCACCACCAACGCCAUUGCCAAGUCUUGGAAGUGAAAACAAAGAAGGAGAGAAAGGAGGAAGAACCACCGGUUACUGUCUGUAUAGCUGCCACCAGCGCCGCCCUAAAGCAACCACCAGCUGCCACCAUUCUCCCCGUCAUUGAUAACAGACCUGCACCGUGAGAAACAGAAGAAGAAACACUGAAAAAACAAAAACAGAGGAGAACAGAGCAGAAGAAAAAAAACACAGAGAAGAAGAAGAAAGGCCGAUCACCGUCCAAGCCGUUCUCCGGUCAGCAACCGCCAGAAGCACAGCCUCGAAGCCACAGCAGGUCCGCCCCUCUUCCUUCUUCUUCUUCUUCGUUGCACCAUCUCCACUGUUCUGCGUGAACAGUGGAGAGUGCUCCACUGUUCACUGGACCAGACAAGUCUGGCCUAGCCUAAAAUGAGCGGGCCGGGUCCGGCCCGGUCCUAAAACAAUUCAAAAAAAUAUAUAUUUUUGAAAAUUUGUGAUUUUUCUGCAUGUUCUUCUACUAAAUUUUGCUUAAUAUUGGUUUGUAUUUUUACAUCGUAAAAAUACAAAUCCGGUAUUAAAAUACCCGGUUUUCGUCAAAACUUUUUUUAAAAAAAAAAUUUUUUUGGUUUUCAUGCAUACGGCCAAGUCUCUCAAAGAAAAGAUCACGUCAUAUUUUCAUACAAAAAAAAAGUCACGAGAACCGGGUAUUUUUAAAAAAAUAUAUGUUUUAGCAUGCAUUUUGGCUUUAAUAACCAGUUUAUUAAAGUCACGAGAACUUGGCCAAAAUUUCAAAAAUUCUAAAAAAAUUAUUUUGUUUUUUUUUAAUAUCAGGGAUUAUGAAUUUAUACGUAAAACGUAUUCUCGAUAUUAAAACGGUAGUUCUUUUAUUAACGUUAGGACGGUUAGGUUUUACCCGAUAAGAUAAGGAUCUCCUUACCGAGGAGGACUUUUCUUAAAUCAUAGGCAGACCAAUAAUUAGAAAUACAAUACAACCGUAGCAUAUAUCAGACAAUAAAACAAUGCAGCUUACCUUAGAUAGGCCGUAUUUAGAGUGCUAAUACCUUCCCUUUAUCCAACCAAUCCCCCUACCCGAUCUCUGAGACCAGUUAGGGUUUCUAGUAACCAAAAUACUAGGUGGCGACUCCAUUCUAUUUUUCCACUGAUAAAAGACAAGAAUUCCUUGUCUUCCCAUAUUUUCCAGAUACACACCAUGAGUGUGGAGGACGAUCGCCGCGACGCCGCACACGUGUGACAAGAAUCUUAGUUAUUGGAUGAAAAAACUUAACCCAAUGAUUAUAAUGAACCACUAACUAAAGGUAUAAGGAUGAAACCCCAACCCGUUGAUUGUAAUAAACUAAAAUAUAUAGGUAUAUGGAUAAAACCCCAACCCGUUGAUUAUAACGACCUAAGAACUAUAGGUGUAAGGAUGGAUGUCAUAAAGAGAGUUGAUCUUUGAUAAGUUUUUUAAAAAGUUCCAUGAGAAACCAAGAGUAUGAGUAAACUUUUUCACACACAAUAAUAUUCUGAAUAAUCAAUCCAUCUCAAAUUAUUAAAAAAAAAACUAAAUAUAAGUUAAAUAACUAUAUUUAUACUAGGAAAAAUGAGAAAUGCUAAAAAAAUAACAAGAGUUCUAAAUAAAAAAGAAAAAAGAAUUCUAAAUUAAUUGGGAGACUAAUGCAAUUCUUGUAUAGUAGCUUUUGAUCUUUAUCGUAAGGUCUUAUCAAUAUUUAAUUGCUAUUAUAUUUCAACUCCAUAUAAAACAAGGAUUUUAGAAUCAUCAAGAAAAUUUGAAGCCCAAUCCACAUGUAAGGAGGAAAAUAAGUUGAAUCUGUAAGUCUUAUAGAAAAGAAAAUCAAAUAUCUUGAAAUAAUCACUAAAUAUUUCUUUAACCUUCUUAGCUCUUGACCUGGCACAUGUAAUUAAUCAUGUGGUAUUGCUUGAUGGUUUCAGCAACAAUGCUUCAAUUCAUCCAAAUUGAUAACAAAAAAAAGUUAAUGAAAUCUAAAAAGUUGCUCUCCAUCAAAAGAUGACAACAAAAGCUUUCAUCAAAAUCUUAACCAUCACAACAAGUAGCUCCCUAGUUUUCAAUAUUCGUAAUUAAUGAGUCAAUAUUCGUAAUUAUCACUCAUAAAUUAUCACUCAUGGUUUACAGGGUGUUUUAUAGAUGUUUUGGGUCAAAACAAGUUACAAAACAGGUUUUUGGGUCAAAUGAGCAUAAACCCUAAUUUUCCAGCAACCACAGUGGCUAGAACCUGGACGAAACAGGUGGACAUGACUGUCACACCCAAGAUCAUGAAUUGGGUCUGGCAGUCAUGCCAAAUCCAAGGCGUUUGGGGCAAGCAGUCAUACAAGACUUAAACAUCUUGGGUCAGGCAAGGAUUGAGUCUGGCAGCCAUACCAUUGGGUCUAACAUGGUUGCCUGCCUAAGCACUUUGGGUCAGGCAUGGAUUGGGUAUGGCAGGCAAGCCAGACCCAAUCCAUGGGUUUGGUAUGGUUGCCAUCAUAGUUAUCAGACUCGGCUUGGCCCUGCAGGUCAACCCAGGACCCGGGUGACCUGGGGUCUUAGCUAGGUACAUUUCAUUUAAAAUUCGGGCCUGCAAUUGGCCUAGAUAAAACCGGUCAUCUUAUCGGGUUAACCCGGAACUCGGGUGACCCAGCAAAACCCGGUAGAGACCUGUUUUUUUUUUUCAAAUAUAUUUUUUCUCUUAGCCAGAGACCCCUCUUUUUUCAUAUUUUUUAGUUUGUUAUAACUCAUUUCAAAGUUCACUAUAUAAAUACUAGAAGAAUGUUUUUAUUUUUUCAAUGUGAGAUUUGAAGCACUGUAGUAUUAUAUACUCUAUGUUCACAAGAAAAAGUUAUGUUUUUUCAAUGUGGGAUAAAAAAACCUUUUUGGUUAAAUACUUCAACUUAAAAUAAUAUGAUAGUAUCUUGCAAAUGUGGGAUAGAAAACCUAUUAAAAUAAUCUUUUAAACUUAAUUAUUUACAACAUGUAUGACAUAUAUUCACAUAGAUUAUUUUUUAAUUUUUUUCAUAUGAAAUAUUAAAACUUCAAAUAUUUUUUUUAAAUUUUUCCAAGUUGACCCGAGUCAACCAGUGUGACCCGAGUCUCGGCUCCUGAGUCGGGUCAACCCCUGAGCCGGGUUUGAUAACUAUGGGUGCAAUAAAAAUAUAAAUUUAAAGAAUGCAAUUAAAAAAAUAAAGUGACGUGACUGGUUAAAAAAUAAAAACUGAAAAAAUGUAAAGAACCUCUUUCUUUUUUGUUCAGGGAGCCUCUUUUAAAUAAUAUUGAUUUUUUUGUUAUGUGUUUAAUUUUCGGAGUAGUUUUUUUUGUUCAUCUAUGUUUAUUUUUAGAUGAUAUUUUUAAUAUGUGUAGUUUUACAUGUUAUUUUUUAAAAAAAUUUAUUCAAUUAAUUUAAUGUCUUAUUUUUCAAGAUUCAAUAUAUUGAUCUACAUUUGUCUCUCAGUUUUUUAAAUCUUGUUUUUAGAUGUCAUUAAUGAUUUUUUAUUGAUUUAUUAGCGCACAUAAUUCUUAGUUUAUUUGAUUACUUAUGUGCAUCAAUAUUUUGAUUUGUUAUAGUUUUUGAACUAUCAAAAUACAUUGAAAAAACCUGUAUAAAUAUUUUUUUAUAAAAAUAAAAAUAUUUAACUUACAGCGAAGCGCGGGACACGUAGCUAAUAAAUUCUAUUAAAUGAGUUAGCAAGGUAGAAAACAAACUUGUAAUAGAUUUGUGCACAUUGCCAUUUCACCAUAAGUUACAUUAGCUCUCAAAACUUUUACGUAGAAACUUAUAAUACUAGAACUAACCAAACAUACUACCAGAAAUGUACUAAUCUUGCAACAAAAUAAGAAUCAACACAUCAAAUUUCCUUAGUGCCUUUGAAACAUAAAAUGUAAAUUAUUAGGGCACAAUUAAUAAUAACUUAUAGGUAAUAAUUAAUCUUCAUCAAAUAUGCUAAAUAACAUAAAUCAACUUUGUCAAACAUAAUUAUUGUGAAUAUUGAUAUUUUUUUUAGCCCUGUUUGUUUCAUGAAAAAUGGUUUUUUAGAAAUUAUUUUCCAAACUUUUCUGUGUUUAUUUGUCAUUAGAAAAAUUAAUCAACAAAAAAAACUUUCCAAUCAAAGAAAAAUUUAACUUUGUUUCUAGAAAAGUGUUUUUCUUUUAUUUUGGGUGGAAAACACUUUCUAGAAGUUGUGAAAAAUUUAGAAAUGUCUUGUUAUUUGCUGAUUAUAUCAAAUUUGAUCCUCAAACUUUUAAUUGUUAUAUAUUUUUUUUUGAUUUUUUUCUUUCAAUUUCAUCAUUUAGAAUUUGAUUUAAUUUGAUUUUUAUAUCAAUUUUGGUCUUUAUUUUUAUUAUUGUUAUUUGCUUUUCUCUUGUCAUUUUCUUAAUUGAAAUUUUUUUAUCUAUCAAAUCUGGUCCUUAUUUUUUUUAUUGUUAUUUAUUUUAUUUUAAAUAAUUUAUAAAAUUAUAUUUUUUUUUAAUUUCAUCAUCUUUCAAUGUUUUUAUUUGUUAGAUUUGAUCUCUAUUAUUUUGAUUGUUAUUUAUUUUAUUUGAGAUAAUUUAUGAAAUUAGAUUUUUUUUAUUUUAUUAUCAUUCAACUUUUUAGUUUGUAAGAUUUGUUCUUUAUUAUUUUAAUAAACUUGAAAAAGAAUUAACAAUUUAUUUUCCAGCUUAUUUUUCAUGACAUAGUCAAAUACAAGAAAGUAUUUUUUAACUUAUUUUAUAUGAUACUAUCAAAUAUCAAAAAAUAAUUUACUUUUUAAAAAUUUAAUUUUUAAAAAAAUUACCUUUUAAAAAAAUAUAUGUUUUUAGCAAACAAAAGGGUUAAUGUUAAAUUUUUUUAUAUAUGACAUGCGGGCAGAGUGCAAGCCAGCUAGCCGGAUGGUUUUUGGUGGAUGUUCUUUAGGACUUGGAGGGAAUAAACACAAAAGGUACGAUUUUUUUUAGAUGGAAAUCUGAGCUUUAUUGACCAUGUAUUUCUUGCCAAGUGGCUUCUUGUCUUUCCUUAACUGUCAUGUCUCAAUUUGAUAAUUGGGAAUUCCUGUCAGGGCUGCUUUAUUUUAUUGUUAUAUUAGUUUGGUUUUGUGUUUUUUUAAUCAAGUUGGUGGGUCCAGAAUUAUGAUGUCGUCAAGGUUCUUUCCUCGACUUGUCUCUAAUUCUUGAAUAUAUUAACAAAACUUUUAAAAUACGUAAAAAUUGAAUAUACUAGAAAUCAAGAAUAUAUAUAUAUAUAUAUAUAUAUAUAUAUAUAUAUAUAUAUGCAUUAUGAAUGAAGAGAUAAUUAAAACAUUGCAUAAUUAUUUUCCUAUAUAUUAAAACAUUUGGAAACAACACUGCAGAAACACUGUAGAUUUACUGUGGACACAGACACAUUGCCCCGUGAAAGACACUAUGUCAUAGAGUAUUUGCACUGUGGACAACAAUGUAGCAUCCUGGGGGGCAUUCCUUUCCUCUCUUUUUUUAGUCAAGAAUUGCGGCUGGGGGUGUGACAUUCUUUGCCAAAAGCUGUUGAGUCUGACUUUGGUAGCCGGACCCAACGCUGUUGGGUCUGAUUGACAAGUCAGACCCAAAACACUUCCAAAACAUGCCAAUAGCAUUGGGUUCUGCAUCCCAGCUAGACCCAACAGAGUAUUUGACUGUGGACGACACUGUAGUGCAUGUGGGGGGCGUUGUCUUUUCUGUUUGUAAGUCAGAAAGGGUUGUUGGAUCGUUGCAGCAGGACCCAAUAAAUUUGAGUCCUGCUUCCACCAGGACCCAAUGGCGUUGAGUCCUGCUGGAACCAUUAAAGUUGGGUCCUGCCCCAGGAGGACCCAAGACUGUAAUUUUUUUUCCUUUUUCAUACGGGUAUGGCUGCAUAGCCAGACCUAGCAGCCAUACCCAAUUAAAUUUCUUGGCUGUUGUCUUCUCUGAUUUAAAUUUAUUUUUCAAAAUAAAUUGAUUGUACUGUGGACAGCACUAUAGCACCUUCCCAGAUCAAUCCCAUCUUUAUCAUCUACACAUGCACGCACAUGCACUUUUUUCCUUUGUCGACAAGGAACUAAAGUUAAUCAAUGCAAGAAAGUAGUAAGAUCACUGACAUCGGCAUAGGAAGAUUGUAAAAAAAAAUUGAUUUCUUUUGGUGGAUGGAUUGAGAAUCCAUGUUAUCAUAUACGUGAGAAUUCAAUCCCCCAUGCCUCUCUACAUCGUGUAUAUAUAUAAUGAAGAAGAUAUAUAUAUAUAUAUAUAUAUAUAUAUAUAUAUAUAUAUAUAUAUAUAUAUAUAUAUCUUCUUCAUUAUAGUAUAACACCACCAUUGAAUAUUAAUGGAAGAUCAUUGAUUAAUAAGGACGACUGGCUUCCAGACCCAGCAGUUAUACCUAAUUAAAUUUCUUUGUUGUUGCCUUCUCUGACUUAAAUUUAUUUCUCAAAAUAAAUUGACGACAUUUUUUUUAUAUUUUAUAAAAGUUGGGUGAUGAUAAAAAAAUUUUCCAUUUCAGGUUGGGUUAAAUUUUCUAAUUAAAUCAUGUUUGAUUUUGGGUUUUGAAAAUUCUUUGAAAACAAUUUGACAAUUUUUAAGUUUUUUUCUUUGUUUCAAAUUAAUAUUUUUGUUAUAUUUUUAAAUGUUUUAAAAAAAUAUAUGUUGAGAUUAUGUCUGGCUGCGUUGGCCCCUGCCUUCCAACAUGACCCAACUGUGUUGGCCCCCUACUCGCAGUAGGACCCAACGCUUAGCCUGUAAGCCCUUUUUUCUCUGAAAGAGAGAGAUUCAUACUUAUCAGUAUUACAAGGGAAAGAAAAGCUCUGAAACCGAAAAGGGAUAUCCUAAUUUGAUUGCUUACUUGAUUGCUUUCUAAAUAGGAAGUGCAUUUCUCCUAGAACCAGCUGGCUUACGGGCUUACAGGGAAACAAAAAUGCUUGGAAGUGACACUUCAAUAGGCACUAAAAUUAGAUUUCUCUGAUUUAAAUUCAUUUUUGAAAAUAAAUUUAUGCGACUUUUAUUAUAUUGACGAAAAAUUUAGUGAUGAUAUUAUUAUUUUUUUCAGGUUGGGUUGAAUUUUCUAAUUAAAUCAUGUUUGAUUUUGCGUUUCAAAAAUUCUUUUAAAAAAAAUUUGAUAAUUUUUAAUUUUUUUCUUUACUUUAAAUUAAUAUUUUUUUUUAUGUUUUUGUAUUUUUUUUUUUCAAAAAAUAUGUUGAGAUUGUCUUUGACUCGAAGCCAGACCCAAGAAAUUUUAAAAUUUUAAUUUUUUUCUUUACUUCAAAAUAAUAAUUUUUUGAUAUUUUCGUAUUAUUUUUAAAAUAUAUUUUCUAAAAAAAUAUAUUGAGAUUGUGUCUGGAUGAGAGGGAAGACCCAAGAAAUUUAAUUUUUUUUCUUUACUUCAAAUUAAUAUUCUUUUGAUAAUUUUGUAUUAUGUUUUUAAAUAUUAUUUUAAAAACAAUUAUGCUAAGAUUGGGUUUAGCUGCGUCACCAGACCCAUGGCAGCAGUGGGCCCUGCCUACAAGCAGGACCCACCACUACUGGGUCCUUCUACGAAGCAUGACCCAAUGAUGUUGGACCCUGCUGCCCAGCAGCGAUGGGCCGUCCUCCAGAACCCAUUAGCUUUGGGUCUUGCGGCUAGCACGACCCAUCAAAAAGCGUUGAGUCCUGUUGGGGGCAAGACCUCAUAAGCCAAUACUGUAAUGUGUUUUUCUUUUCUCUUAUUUUUUUUUCACAGGGUAAAGAGGAAAUAUUAUUAUUAUUAUAUUAUUAUGUUACUGUUACUGUUAUUGUUAUUGUUAUUGUUAUUGUUAUCAUUAAUAAAUUUAAAGAAAAAAAAUUAUUACAAUCGAAGAAAAACCAUAAAUUUUUUUGAAGAGAUUAAAAAAUAUAAAAAUUUGGGUUAGACAAGUUUAACAUCAUUAUUAAUAUUAUAAAUAUUAUUAUUUGUAUUAUAAAUAUUAUUAUUUUUAAUACAAGUAAUAUUAUUAAUAUAAUAAUUAAUAAAUUUGAAAGAAAAUAUCAUUAAUAUUGAAAAAUAACCAUAGAUUUGAAGGUUAAAAUUAAAAAUUAUUUUUAUUUUUAUUAACUUGGGUUUGGCAUUCCCUUCUAAACCCGAGAAACUUGGGGCAGGAAAGGGACACAUGAUUGAAGUUGCUUGGGAGAGGCAGGAGCGUGAAUCUAAGUUCCUUGGGUCUUACAGUCACACCUGACCCAACAUACUUGGGUUAGACGUUUGGAGCCAAGUUUGAGUCUGACUGCAACGCCAGACCCAAGAGCGUUGGGUCUGGCCGAAAGGACGGACCCCAAGCUCAGGGGCCUUCCUUUUUAAACAGACCCAAUGCUCUUGCGAGCAGGACCCACUAAAUUUGGAACAUGCUGCCACUAGAACCUAGCAGCGGUGGCCCUACUGCCAGCCCCACCUGCCUAGCAAGACCUAAUGUUGUUGGGUCCUUCUGUCAAACAUGACCCAAUGAUGUUGGGCCCAGAUGGGUACCCAGCUGCUGGGUCAUUCUGUCAAGCAUGACCCAAUGAUGCUAGAACUUUAAUAGAUUCGGAUUGCAGCUAGACCCAAAGCUCUUGGGUCUGACAUUUAUAAGGGGCGCAAAGCUAUUGGGCGCAUCACGAACCAGAGAAAUAGAAUCCCACAAUCUUCCCAACCAGAUUGCUGACCUUAACCUAAAAAUUAGUGUCGAGCAUAAUCAGAAAAAACAUUAGCCCUUAAAUUAAGAGGGUAAACAAAAAUUGAGGAUUUUCUUAAUCAUAAAAGCUCUAGAAAUUGAUCACAAACUUGUUCUUCAGCAAGGCUCGCAAUCUAAUUUAAACAUGGUAUCCAUCUUAAUUACGAGAAAAACCUGCAAGUUUAAUAAGACAAGUAGAAGUAGAUCGCAUAUGACCAGAGAAAUCCAUAAGCUAGAAGCAGUACCUGGUCACCAUUGUUGCGGAUGAGAAAGUCCCUCUCUUCCAACGAAAGAAGCGAUGAAAGGUCGUGCGAAACGUCUUCGGUGGCCAUUGUUAAGUGAUGAACUAC